This 1846-nucleotide long non-coding RNA is filed under the name Nicotiana tabacum (common tobacco). Its description in RNAcentral is "long non-coding RNA (NTAB_LNC007433)". The stretch from base 831 to 1018 matches the Rfam family "MIR159 microRNA precursor family". Lineage: Eukaryota; Viridiplantae; Streptophyta; Magnoliopsida; Solanales; Solanaceae. The record is from RNAcentral.
GCAAUAGCACCAAAUUCACUUUUCUCAUUCCAUAAUGGCGGAGAGACAUUUUAAUGGUAUUUAUAAUGUAUAUUUUCUGCCGUACUCCAUUAACUACUCCCAGACACUGUUCAUAGUCAAACAAACGUCAAAAUUACAAACCCAAAAAAAUAUAAGUAAAGAAGAAAAAAAGUACGAACCCUACAACUGCUAGAGCUAGACUGUUUAACAAGACGAGAGGGAGCUGUAAAUUUGUAGGUUACUUUGGGUGACAAGAGCAUGUGAUAUUUCAAAAUGUGUGAAGAGAAUCUAAUCAAUCCAAAGGACUACAUAGAUAUGGGUGCAAGGCAAUAGUAAUCACAAAAAAACUUUAAUUUGCCCCACACUACCCAAUGCUUUCACUCUCUUACCAAACAAAAGAAAAACAAAAUAUUAGCACUACCCUUACUUGCCAUAUCUCAUUUCCUACACCCAUUAUAUAUACUCCCCUCUCCUUUCAACAAUCCUCACUUCUCUCUUCAUUCGCUGUUUCAUCUUAGUAGCAGUUUUGAGUUGUUUCUAAAUUGCUCUUCUUGUUUUUUGUUUUUUUUUUCAUUUUUCAUUUUCUACCUAGGGUUAUCUUUUUCAGUCUUUUUUUUUCUUUCCUUUACCACACAUCUGUAUAUAUAUGUAGAUCGAUUCAAGAAGCCUUGUGGUUUUCUGGGUUUUGAUCUUUUUCUUUUGUUGUUAUGAGAGGUUUGUGUCUAAGGUUUUUUUGAGAUGGAAGUUGAGGACAGUCUUUGGGCAGUUUCUUAGGACAGGAUUUAGGUUGACUUUUGUUGUCUUUAUAUGUGAUAUAAGAAUGUUUUAGGGUUUUGAGAGUGGAGCUCCUUGAAGUCCAACAGAGGAUCUAACAGGUAAGAUUGAGCUGCUGACCUAUGGAUUCCUCAGCCCUAUCUAUUAUUUGAUUGGAUAGGUUUGUGGGUUGCAUAUGUCAGGAGCUUCAUUGCCCUAAGUUGGAUCCCUUUUUGGAUUGAAGGGAGCUCUACAUUCAUUUGACCAGAUUUGUAUUCUUGUUGUCUUUAAUUUCUUUUAUGUUUUGUAGAGAUCUAGCAUCUGAUUUUAUUAUCCAGGUCUCUAGAUCUUUUUUCCUAUAAAUAGGAUCUGAAGAAAAAAUUUAGAAUACAUCUGUAUAACUUCAUUCUUUGUUUGAUUAUUUGCCAAAUUUGCUGGAAUUUGUUUUUUAAUAUUUGACUUUUUAAGUUUCAGGUCUGUAGAUCUUAAUUCCUAUUUCUGGGUUCUGAAGAAAUCGAAGUUUAUCAGCUUGUUGGAUUUGCAAAAUCUAUCAGCGCAGGUUUAUCAGAUAAAGCAAGCCCCAGCAGCUUUUUCCUUUGUCCAGAUUUGAGAUGCAGAAAACAUUUUUACAUCUGUUUUUUUGCAGUAGUGUACAAUUAAGGAAAUAGUUUUAACUUCAUCUUCUUUGUAACAAAACAUGUAUAUAUAUUACAUUAUUUCUGUAAAUCGAUAACGCAUCGUUAAGUGAAUGUCUAGUGUUUUCUAUAAAUAACAGUUUUGGGUUAAUUCUGUACUAGUUUUCUUUAACGAAAAAAUAAACUUAGAAAUAUCAGCCAGUAGUCUUACUUUAAUAACCAGUUAGAUAAAUAUUAUUUUUGUAAUUUUAGGGUUUAUAGGCUAGGACUUUGCUCGCUGUCUGAUACUUGUCCUUUUCGUUCUAGAUUUUCGUGCAAAUAGAAGCAUUAUAAACUGGUAACUCCAUUAUUUAACAUUUCUUCAAAGGACAUUUUAAUAUAUUUCACUAAACUAUAUCUUGCGGCGGUAGUAACAUCACCUAACCUAAUAACUAUGGCUUGAAAGGAAUGUAGUGGAG